RNAcentral lists this ribosomal RNA (617 nucleotides) under uncultured archaeon. RNAcentral's name for it is "bacterial SSU rRNA". It matches the Rfam family "Archaeal small subunit ribosomal RNA", at positions 117 to 735 of the family's 1478-position model. The record is from RNAcentral.
UGGACGGGGAUAACCUCGGGAAACUGAGAAUAAUACCCGAUAGAUCAUUAUACCUGGAAUGGUUUAUGGUUCAAAUGAUUUUUCGCCGUAGGAUGGGACUGCGGUCUAUCAGCUUGUUGGUGAGGUAAUGGCCCACCAAGGCUAUUACAGAUACGGGCUCUGAGAGGAGAAGCCCGGAGAUGGGUACUGAGACACGGACCCAGGCCCUAUGGGGCGCAGCAGGCGAGAAAACUUUGCAAUGUGCGAAAGCACGACAAGGUUAAUCCGAGUGUUUUCUGCUAAAGAAAUCUUUUGUUAGUUCUAAAACCACUAUCGAGUAAGGGGUGGGCAAGUUCUGGUGUCAGCCGCCGCGGUAAAACCAGCACCUCAAGUGGUCAGGAUGAUUAUUGGGCCUAAAGCAUCCGUAGCCGGCUAUGUUAGUUUUCGGUUAAAUCCAUGUGCUCAACACAUGGGCUGUCGAGAAUACUGUAUAGCUAGGGAGUGGGAGAGGUAGACGGUACUCGGUAGGAAGGGGUAAAAUCCUUUGAUCUAUUGAUGACCACCAGUGGCGAAGGCGGUCUACCAGAACACGUCCGACGGUGAGGGAUGAAAGCUGGGGGAGCAAACCGGAUUAGAUA